This 1282-nucleotide long non-coding RNA is filed under the name Numida meleagris (helmeted guineafowl). Its description in RNAcentral is "lncRNA (ENSNMEG00000003898.1)". Lineage: Eukaryota; Metazoa; Chordata; Aves; Galliformes; Numididae. The record is from RNAcentral.
GGGGUGUCAAUGGGGACAUGAGUGGGGCAGCAGUGGGGCCAGCCAUGGGGUGACAGUGAGCAUGGCAGUUGGUGACAAUGGGGACAUGAAUGGGGACAUCUGUGGGGCAUCAGUGGGGCAUCAGUGGGGACAGCCAUGGGGUAUCAAUGGGGAAUCAGUGGGGUGUCAAUGGGGACAUGAGUGGGGACAUGAGUGGGGCAUUGGUGGGUGUCAGUGGGGCAGCAGUGGGGCAUCAAUGGGGACACAAGCAGGGACAUCAGUGGGGCAGCAGUGGGUGUCAGUGGGGCAGCAAUGGGGGCAGCCAUGGGGUAUCAGUGGGGUGUCAGUGGGGACAUGAGUGGGGACAUGAGUGGGGCAGCAGUGGGUGUCAGUGGGGCAGCAGUAGGGGCAGCCAUGGGGGAUCAGUGGGGAAUCAGUGGGGUGUCAAUGGGGACAUGAGUGGGGCAGCAGUGGGUGUCAAUGGGGACAUGAGUGGGGACAUGAGUGGGGACAACAAUGGGUGUCAGCGGGACAUGAAUGGGGACAUGAGUGGGUGUCAGUGGGGCAGCAGUGGGGCAGCCAUGGGGUGACAGUGAGCACGGCAGUGGGGACAUCAGUGGGGACAUGAGUGGGACACCGAUGGGAGUCAGUGAAGGCAUCAGUGGGGCAGCAGUGGGGACAGGAAUGGGGACAUCAGUGGGGACAGGAAUGGGUGUCAGUGGGGCAGCAGUGGGGACAUGAGUGGGUGUCAGUGGAACACGAAUGGGGACAGGAAUGGGACAUCAAUGGGGACAUCAAUGGGUGUCAGUGGGGACAUCGAUGGGGGCAGGAAUGGGUGUCAGUGGGGCAGCAGUGGGGACAUCAGUGGGGACAUCAGUGGGUGUCAGUGGGGACAUCAGUGGGGACAUGAAUGGGUGUCAGUGGGACAUGAAUGGGGACAGGAGCGGGUGUCAGUGGGGCAGCAGUGGGGACAUGAAUGGGGACAGGAAUGAGUGUCAGUGGGACAUGAAUGGGGACAUGAAUGGGUGUCAAUGGGGACAUGAAUGGGGACAGGAAUGGGGACAGGAAUGGGUGUCAGUGGGGCAGCAGUGGGGACAGGAAUGGGUGUCAGUGCGACAUGAAUGGGGACAGGAAUGGGUGUCAAUGGGGACAGCAAUGGGGACAGGAAUGGGGGCAGGAAUGGGGGCAGGAAUGGGUGUCAAUGGCGACAGGAAUGGGGACAGGAAUGGGGACAUAAAUGGGUGUCAGUGGGGACAGGAAGGGGUGUCAAUGGGGACAUCAUUGGGGACAGGAAUGGGUGUCA